CAGUAGCCGCGGUAAUACGGAGGAUCCAAGCGUCAUCCGGAUUUAUUGGGUUUAAAGGGUGCGUAGGUGGCCUGUUAAGUCAGGGGUGAAAGACGGUAGCUCAACUAUCGCAGUGCCUUUGAUACUGACGGGCUUGAAUGAACUAGAGGUAGGCGGAAUGUGACAAGUAGCGGUGAAAUGCAUAGAUAUGUCACAGAACACCAAUUGCGAAGGCAGCUUACUAUGGUUUUAUUGACACUGAGGCACGAAAGCGUGGGGAUCAAACAGGAUUAGAUACCCCUGUAGUCCCUGUCUCUUAUAC
This 301-nucleotide ribosomal RNA is filed under the name uncultured bacterium. RNAcentral describes it as "partial 16S ribosomal RNA". It matches the Rfam family "Bacterial small subunit ribosomal RNA", at positions 509 to 807 of the family's 1533-position model. The record is from RNAcentral.